This 2278-nucleotide ribosomal RNA is filed under the name Vibrio sp. AIC-3. RNAcentral describes it as "partial 23S ribosomal RNA". It matches the Rfam family "Bacterial large subunit ribosomal RNA", at positions 393 to 2817 of the family's 2925-position model. The record is from RNAcentral. Lineage: Bacteria; Pseudomonadati; Pseudomonadota; Gammaproteobacteria; Vibrionales; Vibrionaceae.
UCAUAAUCAGUGAAAACGAGUAGGGCGGGACACGUGAUAUCCUGUCUGAAUAUGGGGGGACCAUCCUCCAAGGCUAAAUACUACUGACUGACCGAUAGUGAACCAGUACCGUGAGGGAAAGGCGAAAAGAACCCCUGUGAGGGGAGUGAAAUAGAACCUGAAACCGUGUACGUACAAGCAGUAGGAGCACCUUCGUGGUGUGACUGCGUACCUUUUGUAUAAUGGGUCAGCGACUUAAUUUUAGUAGCAAGGUUAACCGUUUAGGGGAGCCGUAGGGAAACCGAGUCUUAACUGGGCGUACAGUUGCUAGGAUUAGACCCGAAACCAGGUGAUCUAGCCAUGGGCAGGUUGAAGGUUGAGUAACAUCAACUGGAGGACCGAACCGACUAAUGUUGAAAAAUUAGCGGAUGACUUGUGGCUAGGGGUGAAAGGCCAAUCAAACCUGGAGAUAGCUGGUUCUCCCCGAAAGCUAUUUAGGUAGCGCCUCGGACGAAUACUACUGGGGGUAGAGCACUGUUAAGGCUAGGGGGUCAUCCCGACUUACCAACCCUUUGCAAACUCCGAAUACCAGUAAGUACUAUCCGGGAGACACACGGCGGGUGCUAACGUCCGUCGUGGAGAGGGAAACAACCCAGACCGCCAGCUAAGGUCCCAAAGUAUAGCUAAGUGGGAAACGAUGUGGGAAGGCUCAGACAGCCAGGAUGUUGGCUUAGAAGCAGCCAUCAUUUAAAGAAAGCGUAAUAGCUCACUGGUCGAGUCGGCCUGCGCGGAAGAUGUAACGGGGCUAAGCUAUACACCGAAGCUGCGGCUACGUACCUUAGGGUAUGUGGGGUAGGGGAGCGUUCUGUAAGCCGUUGAAGGUGGUCUGUAAGGGCUGCUGGAGGUAUCAGAAGUGCGAAUGCUGACAUGAGUAACGAUAAAGGGAGUGAAAAACUCCCUCGCCGGAAGACCAAGGGUUCCUGUCCAACGUUAAUCGGGGCAGGGUAAGUCGACUCCUAAGGCGAGGCCGAAAGGCGUAGUCGAUGGGAAACGGGUUAAUAUUCCCGUACUUCUUACAAUUGCGAUGGGGGGACGGAGAAGGCUAGGUGGGCCUGGCGACGGUUGUCCAGGUUCAAGUACGUAGGCGGGUGGUUUAGGUAAAUCCGGACCGCUACUAACGCUGAGAUACGAUGUCGAGCUACUACGGUAGUGAAGUCAUUGAUGCCAUGCUUCCAGGAAAAGCCUCUAAGCUUCAGAUUGUAAGGAAUCGUACCCCAAACCGACACAGGUGGUCGGGUAGAGAAUACCAAGGCGCUUGAGAGAACUCGGGUGAAGGAACUAGGCAAAAUGGUACCGUAACUUCGGGAGAAGGUACGCUCUUAUCAGUGAAGUCCCUUGCGGAUGGAGCAGACGAGAGUCGCAGAUACCAGGUGGCUGCAACUGUUUAUUAAAAACACAGCACUGUGCAAAAUCGUAAGAUGACGUAUACGGUGUGACGCCUGCCCGGUGCCGGAAGGUUAAUUGAUGGGGUUAGACUUCGGUCGAAGCUCUUGAUCGAAGCCCCGGUAAACGGCGGCCGUAACUAUAACGGUCCUAAGGUAGCGAAAUUCCUUGUCGGGUAAGUUCCGACCUGCACGAAUGGCGUAAUGAUGGCCACGCUGUCUCCACCCGAGACUCAGUGAAAUUGAAAUCGCUGUGAAGAUGCAGUGUACCCGCGGCUAGACGGAAAGACCCCGUGAACCUUUACUACAGCUUGGCACUGAACAUUGAACCUACAUGUGUAGGAUAGGUGGGAGACUGGGCUAAACACGGUUGGACAUCGUGUGGUUAGUGCAAUGGCAUAAGCCCGCUUGACUGCGAGAAUGACAAUUCGAGCAGGUGCGAAAGCAGGUCAUAGUGAUCCGGUGGUUCUGAAUGGAAGGGCCAUCGCUCAACGGAUAAAAGGUACUCCGGGGAUAACAGGCUGAUACCGCCCAAGAGUUCAUAUCGACGGCGGUGUUUGGCACCUCGAUGUCGGCUCAUCACAUCCUGGGGCUGAAGUCGGUCCCAAGGGUAUGGCUGUUCGCCAUUUAAAGUGGUACGCGAGCUGGGUUUAGAACGUCGUGAGACAGUUCGGUCCCUAUCUGCCGUGGGCGUUGGAAAAUUGAAAGGGGCUGCUCCUAGUACGAGAGGACCGGAGUGGACGAACCUCUGGUGUUCGGGUUGUCAUGCCAAUGGCAUUGCCCGGUAGCUAAGUUCGGAAUCGAUAACCGCUGAAAGCAUCUAAGCGGGAAGCGAGCCUUGAGAUGAGUUUUCCCUG